UGGGGAAUUUUGGACAAUGGGCGAAAGCCUGAUCCAGCAAUGCCGCGUGUGUGAAGAAGGCCUUCGGGUUGUAAAGCACUUUUGUCCGGAAAGAAAUCCUUGGCUCUAAUACAGUCGGGGGAUGACGGUACCGGAAGAAUAAGCACCGGCUAACUACGUGCCAGCAGCCGCGGUAAUACGUAGGGUGCAAGCGUUAAUCGGAAUUACUGGGCGUAAAGCGUGCGCAGGCGGUUUGCUAAGACCGAUGUGAAAUCCCCGGGCUCAACCUGGGAACUGCAUUGGUGACUGGCAGGCUAGAGUAUGGCAGAGGGGGGUAGAAUUCCACGUGUAGCAGUGAAAUGCGUAGAGAUGUGGAGGAAUACCGAUGGCGAAGGCAGCCCCCUGGGCCAAUACUGACGCUCAUGCACGAAAGCGUGGGGGAGCAAACAGGAUUAGAUACCCUGGUAGUCCACGCCCUAAACGAUGUC
RNAcentral lists this ribosomal RNA (467 nucleotides) under uncultured bacterium. RNAcentral's name for it is "partial 16S ribosomal RNA". It matches the Rfam family "Bacterial small subunit ribosomal RNA", at positions 355 to 813 of the family's 1533-position model. The record is from RNAcentral.